AUUGAACGCUGGCGGCAGGCCUAACACAUGCAAGUCGAGCGGAUGAAGGGAGCUUGCCCCUGGAUUCAGCGGCGGACGGGUGAGUAAUGCCUAGGAAUCUUCCUUUUAGUGGGGGAUAACGUCCGGAAACGGGCUCUAAUACCGCAUACGUCCUGAGGGAGUAAGUGGGUGAUCUUCGGACCUCACGCUAUCAGAUGAGCCUAGGUCGGAUUAGCUAGUUUGUGGGGUAAAUGCCUACCAAGGCGACGAUACGGAACUGGUCUGAGGAGAUGAUCAGGCCGACCGGAACGGAGACACGGCCACGAGGCCAACGAGAGGCAGCAGUGACGACUACUGGACAAAGCGCGAAAGAAUAUUCCAGCAAUGCCGCGUGUGUGAAGCAGGUAUUCGGAGUGUAAAAAGAAUGAAGUUGGGAUGAAGGGCAGUAAGUUAAUACAUUGAUGUAUUGACGUUACCAACAGAAUAAGCAACGGCUAAAUUCGUG
RNAcentral lists this ribosomal RNA (484 nucleotides) under uncultured bacterium. RNAcentral's name for it is "partial 16S ribosomal RNA". It matches the Rfam family "Bacterial small subunit ribosomal RNA", at positions 30 to 507 of the family's 1533-position model. The record is from RNAcentral.